Molecule: ribosomal RNA, 460 nt
Filed under: uncultured bacterium
Lineage: Bacteria
Description: partial 16S ribosomal RNA
Rfam family: Bacterial small subunit ribosomal RNA
Source: RNAcentral
CCUACGGGAGGCUGCAGUGAGGAAUAUUGGUCAAUGGACGAGAGUCUGAACCAGCCAAGUAGCGUGAAGGAUGACUGCCCUAUGGGUUGUAAACUUCUUUUAUAUGGGAAUAAAAUGUUCCACGUGUGGGCUUUUGUAUGUACCAUACGAAUAAGGAUCGGCUAACUCCGUGCCAGCAGCCGCGGUAAUACGGAGGAGCCGAGCGUUAUCCGGAUUUAUUGGGUUUAAAGGGAGCGUAGGUGGAUUGUUAAGUCAGUUGUGAAAGUUUGCGGCUCAACCGUAAAAUUGCAGUUGAAACUGGCAGUCUUGAGUCCAGUAGAGGUGGGCGGAAUGCGUGGUGUAGCGGUGAAAUGCUUAGAUAUCACGAAGAACUCCGAUUGCGAAGGCAGCUCACUGGACUGCAACUGACACUGAGGCUCGAAAGUGUGGGUAUCAAACAGGAUUAGAUACCCGAGUAGUC